Molecule: ribosomal RNA, 453 nt
Filed under: uncultured bacterium
Lineage: Bacteria
Description: bacterial SSU rRNA
Rfam family: Bacterial small subunit ribosomal RNA
Source: RNAcentral
UCGAGAAUCUUCCGCAAUGGACGAAAGUCUGACGGAGCGACGCCGCGUGAUGGAUGAAGUCCCUCUGGGACGUAAACAUCUUUUUAUGAGGGAGAAAGUUUAUUGAUAGUACCUCACGAAUAAGGGGUUGCUAAACUCGUGCCAGCAGCAGCGGUAAUACAGAGGCCACGAGCGUUAGUCGGAAUCACUGGGCUUAAAGGGUGCGUAGGUGGGUCCGCAAGCGUCCUGUGAAAUACCUCAGCUCAACUGAGGAACAGCAGGGCGAACUGCGGGUCUUGAGGCAGGUAGGGGCUGGAAGAACGGUCGGUGGAGCGGUGAAAUGCGUAGAGAUCGACCGGAAUGCCGAUGGGGAAGCCGUCCAGCUGGGCCUGUCCUGACACUGAGGCACGAAAGCGUGGGGAGCAAACAGGAUUAGAUACCCCUGUAGUCCCUGAGCGGGCUGGCAAGGCGCAU